CUCCAUCCCCCUUCUAGCUCCCCAUCCAUCUGCUGAGACCUACUUCCACCACUCAAUAAAAACUUGCACUCAUUCUCCAAGCCCACAUGGGACCCCAUUUCU
Molecule: long non-coding RNA, 102 nt
Organism: Sapajus apella (tufted capuchin)
Lineage: Eukaryota; Metazoa; Chordata; Mammalia; Primates; Cebidae
Exons: 3
Source: RefSeq, a predicted model, not a curated record